AAGCAAAGGCAGAGCCACAGAGGGGCUGCUGGUCCCCAAAUGUCUCUCCAGCUGCUCUGGAGCUGCUGGGGCUACAGAGCUGGUGAAGGCUGAGAUCAUGAGAUAAACCCCAGGGCUCCCUGGGAGAUCCUGGUUUGUACUGCUGUGUGGUCUUAAUUAUUAAGAAACAAGGCACUUUAUGAAGAGGAAAAGAGCUGAACAAAAGGUGUUCUCUUCAGGAGGUCCAUGUAGAAGGCAGGCAGAACACUGGGCUAAAGACACAGACCCAGGAAGCCCUCAAGUUGCCACAGACCUUAAAUAUUACAAUCCCCCUGCUUGUCAAUCAUUAAUACAAAUCUGAGCAGGUCUUCCCUGCAGGACACAGGCGGCUUUCUGGAAAAAGCAUGGAAAAGUGAGUCUCCUAAAUGUUCUCAAGUGACUGAUUCAGGACACAUCUUAAAAGGAUCAAAGAAGGAUGGAGAAAAACUUCAGAAGGAAAUAACAGUUUGAAUGAAAACACUCAUUUAGCAGAAAGUCCAGAAGUGCUCGACCAAGAAAUUGCAAGAUGGAAGCAGACAGUACAGGAAAGGAAGGAGAGAAAGAAAAGCUGGAAACCUUUGAAUGCACAAAUAAAACAGGUCAUGAAAGAUACCAUGAGCCAAUUAAAAUCUAUGGCUGAAAACCUGCUGGACACCAUGCAGUUGGGAGAUUUCUCUAGGGACCACAGUGACGAGGACUCGAAAGUACAGCUAAAGAGGAAAGCAGAAAAUGAAGACUGCCUGCCCCAGCCCCUCCCGCCCAACUAUCAGUCAGAAGGCCAUCUGAAGAGCGUCCUGGGUGAUGGUGACUUAAAUGUGUUCUGUGAAAGUCAAGAAAAAUCAAGAAAUAGCUUGACAAUUGUGGGAAAAAAAAUCAAUGAAUGAAGAGCUCACAGGACAAAUCAAACAUCUCCAAACUGAGAAAGCGUCUUUGCAGUUUGAAAAUUCCCAACUUGCAGGUGGGAUCCAGAACCUGCAGCUGAAGCUUCAAAUCCUACCUGAAUCACAUCAAGAACACAUAGCGCAACUUCAGAGAAGAUCACCUGCGGUGGAAACACACAGGUUAGAAAUGAAGAAGAAACUUCUGAGCGUGUGUAGAAAUGUGAAUACACACAGCAGAUUCACAGCCUCUACAAGGAGAUGGCUGAAAAUAUCAGCAAAGAAUUGGAAAGAAUCACUUCCUUCUAUCAGAAGGAGAUUCUUGCCUGUGUGGAAAGAGCUCAGGAAAGCUGGAGGGCAGUUCUGUCCACUGAGAGAAAGCUCCGGGAGCUAAGAAAAGAAGAUGAUUGCAGUAGGCAGAUCCUGGCUGACAUGGAGUUCAAGUUCCUGCCUUUUACUAGGGGUUCUUUGCUCCUGCUGCUUCAGGUACAGCCAACAGAGGCCCACAAGGACCAGGGGUCCCCUGAGUCAUCAGGUUCCCAGCAAGGAGAAGUGAGGUGCUGUGAGGCUUAGGGAUUCAGGGCCAGCAGGUUUCACUCAGCUCUCCCAGCAGCAGGGCCCUCAACACCCACAGUCACAGUGAGACACAGCAGCCUGGGCUAUCUCUUUAAAGUUAUCUUGAUUUAUCUCUUUUUAGUUUAGCUACUGUUAUUUAGCUGCUCUUAUUCAAAUAGAUAUAGCAUUAUAAUUUCUGUUUCUGUUUUUCAAGGAAAAUUUUAUUUCAUUCAAUUCUUAUGACUUUUAUUUCCAUGUCUUUGGACCCCCCCUAGAAUUAUAUAGUAUAAAUAUUGUGUUUUAAUUUAAAGGAAAGAUUCACUAUUACUGAAGCCAUAAUUGAAGUUUAACACAGAGAUAUCUGAAGCAAUAAAGGCCAUUUUCUGUAUGCUAUGAACUGUUAUUAGAAAUUUGCAUAAGUAACUUAAUAUUUACCUGAAGAAAUUUCGACUGGUUUUAUACAACAAUAAAAAAUCUUCAACAAAACCA
Long non-coding RNA from Homo sapiens (human), 1940 nucleotides. Lineage: Eukaryota; Metazoa; Chordata; Mammalia; Primates; Hominidae. The record is from Ensembl.